RNAcentral lists this ribosomal RNA (437 nucleotides) under uncultured bacterium. Its description in RNAcentral is "partial 16S ribosomal RNA". It matches the Rfam family "Bacterial small subunit ribosomal RNA", at positions 29 to 507 of the family's 1533-position model. The record is from RNAcentral.
AGCGAACGCUGGCGGCAGGCUUAACACAUGCAAGUCGAGCGGGCAUCCUUGUGGUGUCAGCGGCAGACGGGUGAGUAACGCGUGGGAACGUGCCCUUCGGUUCGGAAUAACUCAGGGAAACUUGAGCUAAUACCGGAUACGUGCGAGAGCAGAAAGGUUUAUCUGCCGAAGGGUCGGCCCGCGUCUGAUUAGCUAGUUGGUGAGGUUACGGCUCACCAAGGCGACGAUCAGUAGCUGGUCUGAGAGGAUGAUCAGCCACACUGGGACUGAGACACGGCCCAGACUCCUACGGGAGGCAGCAGUGGGGAAUAUUGGACAAUGGGGGCAACCCUGAUACAGCCAUGCCGCGUGAGUGAUGACGGCCUUAGGGUUGUAAAGCUCUUUUCUCCGGGACGAUAAUGACGGUACCGGAGGAAUAAGCCCCGGCUAACUUCGUG